ACGCACGCUGGCGGCGUGCUUCACACCUGCAAGUCGAACGGAAAGGCCCUGCUUUUGUGGGGUGCUCGAGUGGCGAGCGGGUGAGUAACACGUGAGUAACCUGCCCUUGACUUUGGGAUAACUUCAGGAAACUGGGGCUAAUACCGGAUAGGAGCUCCUGCUGCAUGGUGGGGGUUGGAAAGUUUCGGCGGUUGGGGAUGGACUCGCGGCUUAUCAGCUUGUUGGUGGGGUAGUGGCUUACCAAGGCUUUGACGGGUAGCCGGCCUGAGAGGGUGACCGGCCACAUUGGGACUGAGAUACGGCCCAGACUCCUACGGGAGGCAGCAGUGGGGAAUAUUGCACAGUGGGCGGAAGCCUGAUGCAGCAACGCCGCGUGCGGGAUGACGGCCUUCGGGUUGUAAACCGCUUUCGCCUGUGACGAAGCGUGAGUGACGGUAAUGGGUAAAGAAGCACCGGCUAACUACGUG
Molecule: ribosomal RNA, 467 nt
Filed under: uncultured bacterium
Lineage: Bacteria
Description: partial 16S ribosomal RNA
Rfam family: Bacterial small subunit ribosomal RNA
Source: RNAcentral